RNAcentral lists this transfer RNA (73 nucleotides) under Stegodyphus mimosarum. It matches the Rfam family "tRNA". Rfam says of the family: Transfer RNA (tRNA) molecules are approximately 80 nucleotides in length. Their secondary structure includes four short double-helical elements and three loops (D, anti-codon, and T loops). Further hydrogen bonds mediate the characteristic L-shaped molecular structure. tRNAs have two regions of fundamental functional importance: the anti-codon, which is responsible for specific mRNA codon recognition, and the 3' end, to which the tRNAs corresponding amino acid is attached (by aminoacyl-tRNA synthetases). tRNAs cope with the degeneracy of the genetic code in two manners: having more than one tRNA (with a specific anti-codon) for a particular amino acid; and 'wobble' base-pairing, i.e. permitting non-standard base-pairing at the 3rd anti-codon position. Lineage: Eukaryota; Metazoa; Arthropoda; Arachnida; Araneae; Eresidae. The record is from Rfam by way of RNAcentral.
GCCUUCGUGGUGUGAUGGGUAGCACACUCGGCGCGUAUUCGAGAGGUCUGAGGUUCGAAUCCCGGUGAGGGCA